GAUGAACGCUGGCGGUAUGCUUAACACAUGCAAGUCGAACGGUCACUUCGGUGAUAGUGGCGGACGGGUGAGUAACGCGUGAGAAUCUGUCUUCAGGUCGGGGGCAACAGUUAGAAAUGACUGCUAAUACCGGAUGUGCCUUUGGGUGAAAGAUUUAUUGCCUGAAAAAGAGCUCGCGUCAGAUUAGCUAGUAGGUGGUGUAAGAGACUACCUAGGCUCCGAUCUGUAGCUGGUCUGAGAGGACGAUCAGCCACACUGGAACUGAGACACGGUCCAGACUCCUACGGGAGGCAGCAGUGGGGAAUUUUCCGCAAUGGGCGAAAGCCUGACGGAGCAAUACCGCGUGAGGGACGAAGGCUUUUGGGUCGUAAACCUCUUUUCUCAAGGAAGAUGAUGACGGUACUUGUGGAAUAAGCAUCGGCUAACUCUGUG
RNAcentral lists this ribosomal RNA (432 nucleotides) under uncultured bacterium. Its description in RNAcentral is "partial 16S ribosomal RNA". It matches the Rfam family "Bacterial small subunit ribosomal RNA", at positions 28 to 507 of the family's 1533-position model. The record is from RNAcentral.